Molecule: transfer RNA, 69 nt
Filed under: Margariscus margarita (pearl dace)
Lineage: Eukaryota; Metazoa; Chordata; Actinopteri; Cypriniformes; Leuciscidae
Also listed under: 2 other names
Description: tRNA-Met
Rfam family: tRNA
About the family: Transfer RNA (tRNA) molecules are approximately 80 nucleotides in length. Their secondary structure includes four short double-helical elements and three loops (D, anti-codon, and T loops).
Source: RNAcentral
GAUGAAGUCAGCUAAAUAAGCUUUCGGGCCCAUACCCCGAACAUGACGGUUAAACUCCCUCCUCCAUCA